This 92-nucleotide transfer RNA is filed under the name Alistipes shahii. RNAcentral describes it as "tRNA-Ser". It matches the Rfam family "tRNA". Rfam says of the family: Transfer RNA (tRNA) molecules are approximately 80 nucleotides in length. Lineage: Bacteria; Pseudomonadati; Bacteroidota; Bacteroidia; Bacteroidales; Rikenellaceae. RNAcentral also lists the same sequence under 5 other names. The record is from RNAcentral.
GGAGAGGUGGGUGAGUGGCUGAAACCACCGGUUUGCUAAACCGACGUACGGGGCAACCUGUACCACGAGUUCGAAUCUCGUCCUCUCCGCAA